UACGUAGGGUGCGAGCGUUGUCCGGAAUUAUUGGGCGUAAAGAGCUUGUAGGCGGCUUGUCGCGCCUGCUGUGAAAAUCCGAGGCUCAACCUCGGACUUGCAGUGGGUACGGGCAGGCUAGAGUGUGGUAGGGGAGACUGGAAUUCCUGGUGUAGCGGUGAAAUGCGCAGAUAUCAGGAGGAACACCGGUGGCGAAGGCGGUUCUCUGGGAAUAUCCUGACGCUGAGGAGCGAAAGUGUGGGGAGCGAACAGG
RNAcentral lists this ribosomal RNA (253 nucleotides) under uncultured bacterium. RNAcentral describes it as "partial 16S ribosomal RNA". It matches the Rfam family "Bacterial small subunit ribosomal RNA", at positions 524 to 776 of the family's 1533-position model. The record is from RNAcentral.